GGAAAGUGCUUAGCAAAACUUUA
RNAcentral lists this non-coding RNA (23 nucleotides) under Arabidopsis thaliana (thale cress). The record is from RNAcentral. Lineage: Eukaryota; Viridiplantae; Streptophyta; Magnoliopsida; Brassicales; Brassicaceae.